Molecule: ribosomal RNA, 508 nt
Filed under: uncultured bacterium
Lineage: Bacteria
Description: partial 16S ribosomal RNA
Rfam family: Bacterial small subunit ribosomal RNA
Source: RNAcentral
GAUGAACGCUAGCUACAGGCUUAACACAUGCAAGUCGAGGGGAAACGACAUCGAAAGCUUGCUUUUGAUGGGCGUCGACCGGCGCACGGGUGAGUAACGCGUAUCCAACCUGCCCACCACUUGGGGAUAACCUUGCGAAAGUAAGACUAAUACCCAAUGACGUCUCUAGAAGACAUCUGAAAGAGAUUAAAGAUUUAUCGGUGAUGGAUGGUGAUGCGUCUGAUUAGCUUGUUGGCGGGGUAACGGCCCACCAAGGCGACGAUCAGUAGGGGGUCUGGGAGGAAGGUCCCCCACAUUGGAACUGAGACACGGUCCAACCUCCUACGGGAGGCAGCAGUGAGGAAUAUUGGUCAAUGGGCGAGAGCCUGAACCAGCCAAGUAGCGUGCAGGAUGACGGCCCUAUGGGUUGUAAACUGCUUUUAUAAGGGAAUAAAGUGAGUCUCGUGAGACUUUUUGCAUGUACCUUAUGAAUAAGGACCGGCUAAUUCCGUGCCAGCCGCCGCCGUAA